RNAcentral lists this unclassified non-coding RNA (288 nucleotides) under Hevea brasiliensis (rubber tree). The record is from RNAcentral. Lineage: Eukaryota; Viridiplantae; Streptophyta; Magnoliopsida; Malpighiales; Euphorbiaceae.
UGGCAACACAGGCUUUUGCUGACUAAAAGGAAUCCGAGGAUCCCCAUUUUGGACACCUCCAUUCUCUUGGGGAGUUGAAAAUACUCUCCCCGGAUUCAUCCUUCAAUUGUAAGUCUAUUCUUCUAGACUGUCUAAUUCAUCCCUCGGGUCUUCGCUUUCAACUGUUCAAGACGGGACAAUGUUUCAACUCCCUGAUUCACGAUCUUUAGCUGAGUACAGUUACCGGAGUGAAUUUGUUUAAGAACCAGUCAAUGCCGGAGAGCCUAAGUCAGUCUUCUGUUAAAAAAA